UACAGAGGUCUCAAGCGUUGUUCGGAUUCAUUGGGCGUAAAGGGUGCGUAGGCGGCGCGAUAAGUCGGGUGUGAAAUCUCGGAGCUUAACUCCGAAACUGCAUUCGAUACUGCCGUGCUUGAGGACUGGAGAGGAGACUGGAAUUUACGGUGUAGCGGUGAAAUGCGUAGAUAUCGUAAGGAAGACCAGUGGCGAAGGCGGGUCUCUAGACAGUUCCUGACGCUGAGGCACGAAGGUCAGGGGAGCAAACGGG
This 253-nucleotide ribosomal RNA is filed under the name uncultured bacterium. Its description in RNAcentral is "partial 16S ribosomal RNA". It matches the Rfam family "Bacterial small subunit ribosomal RNA", at positions 524 to 776 of the family's 1533-position model. The record is from RNAcentral.